This is a non-coding RNA of Anas platyrhynchos (mallard), 1703 nucleotides long. The record is from RefSeq and is a predicted model, not a curated record. Lineage: Eukaryota; Metazoa; Chordata; Aves; Anseriformes; Anatidae.
CACCAGGAGUCCUUUGCCACCACAUGUCCUUCAGCGCUGUCACCAUGAGUCCUUUGCCACCACAUGUCCUUCACUGCUGUCACCAUGAGUCCUUCACCAUCACAACUCCUUCAUCACCACAACUCCUUCACCAGCACAAGUCCUUCACCACCACCACGAAUCCUUCACCACGACAAGCCUUCACCACCACCACAAGUCUUUCAUCACAAAUCCUCCACCACCACCACAAGUCUUUCAUCACAAGUCCUUCACCACUACAAUUCCUUCACACCAGCACAAGUCCUUCACCACCACCCUGAAUUCUUCACCUCUACCACAAGUCCUUUACCACCACCACAAGUCUUUUAUCACCACAGCUCCUUCACUGACACCACAAGACUUUCAUCACCACAAGUCCUUCACUGUCAUCACAAGUUCUUCACUAUCACAACUCCUUCACCACCAGCACAAGUCCUUCACAACCACCACAAGACUUUCAUCACCACAAGUCCUUCACCACUACCAUGAAUUCUUCACCAGCACAAGUCCUUUACCACCACCACAAGUCUUUAUCACCACAACUCCUUCACCACCACCACAAGACUUUCAUCACCACAAAUUCUUCACACCAGCACAAGUCCUUCACCACCACCACGAAUCCUUCACUACCACCACAAGUCUUUCACCACCGCAACUCCUUCACCACCACCUCAACAAGUCCUUCACCAGCACCACCACCUCAGGGCGCCAUGUAUGAGGGGUAGCCUUCACUCCCUUUCCCAGUGGUGGCUGCUCACUCAAACUGGGCCCAUUACACGGUUGUAAAGGGCUGCAUGGUGAAACAGGCUUAGAUGUGGUUUGUAUGUAGCUUGAGGAGGGCAGGGAGGGCUCCGCUGAGAAAAGGGAGGGGGAACAGUCUAGGUGGUUUUGCUUUUCAACAGCUCUUGCUCAAGUUGUUUUAUAUGAUGCUCUCCAGUUCCCCUGGAUCCUUGCUUAGUGCUUAAGAAAAACUGGUCUAGCAAUUAUGCUGGAGGACUGGAUUCAAGCCUGGAUAUUCUUAUUCCUGGCACUGCUCAUGACUAUAGGACAUCCCUUACUAUAAAGUGGUGAAAAUAGGCUUGGUGGAGCAGCCGGAGGUAUUUUUGCAUUUGUAAAGCAUCUGAAGAGACAUGCACAAAGGAUUACAAAUAAGCAUUAUUCUGUUAUUGGGAUGCAUUGAUGUUUUUGAAAUGAGGAUGGCUGUCACCUUCUCAGAGGAGCAAAUCUAGAAACACUCAUGUUGUUAAAUGGGAUGAUCUCUCCUUUUGUCAUUCUAAGGGGAUAUGGAAGCAAUGCUGCUGAGACUACUCUUUUAGGCAGAACAGGACACAAAAAGCAGUGGAAUUGCAAAUGGACCAUCUCCUUUGCCUAUAAUCUCAAAGUAGCAUUCAUUAUUCAUUGAAUUAAUUAUUUUGUAUACUAAAUAAUUAUUUGCAACUUGGUAUGUCUGAUGGAAAAUUUUGGUCCCUUACUGCUUUAUCAUAGGAGAGAGACACAAGGACUACAGUUCCAAAUUUCAUGACUCUAUCAACGCUGUAUUACUUUUCUUCAAGGCCUGAUGCUUGUUUGAAGCAGCAAGAUCACCCAUUUUUAAAGAAAAUGAUCCCCAGGUAUGAAAGGCUCUGAAAAAAAUCUUUGAUCCCAGACAGUACACUGUGGCAAUCAUAUCUCUGACCAACACUUUG